Molecule: long non-coding RNA, 747 nt
Filed under: Marmota monax (woodchuck)
Lineage: Eukaryota; Metazoa; Chordata; Mammalia; Rodentia; Sciuridae
Source: RNAcentral
UAUACCUUUGCUAAUGUUUAUUUUAAAUUUUGAAACAAUAAGGAAGUUCAGAAACAGACACAGGAUUAAGCAAUAUUUGGAUUUUUUUUCUCUUCUUAUCUUAUGGGACUUACCUGUCUCCUAGAGCAGUUACAUUUUCUCUUCGAAACCAUUCUUUCCCUUGUAUUCUUUUGCGAUUUCUUCCUCAUUACAUUACUUCAAUAUUCUUUCCCCAGAAGACUUUAAGAAACAGAUACCAUUUGACAGUUUUACUCAUGGGAAUACCAUAUAUUUUGCAUAGUGCUCAUGUAACUUAAUGUGCAGGUAUUUUGACCAGGUUUUAUGUAUUUUUUCCAAAACAAAACCUAACAAAUCCAAAUAUUGACUAAUAAAAUGACUGAAUUUGUGUGUGAUUUGUCAGCUGGAGCCCAAAGGGGGCAGCAGAGAGCUAACCAGGAGUUAGACAUGGUGAAAACCUCUAACUACUCUAAGCAUCCUGCUUUCAUUUUCCCUCUGAGAUGUAGGAGUUGGAGUAAGCAAUCCCUAGAGCUUCUUAUAGUCCUCAAAUUCUCUGUAUAAGUUUUGAAUAAAAAUUUUGCACUGAUUUAGGCUCUGGGGACAGAACAGAGAAUGAAAAACCCAAUGAUCCUCCACUCUUGAAGCUUGUCUUCCAGUGGGGUCCUUGCGCUGAAUAGGGAUUCUAUGCCUGUCACAGUGACCUGGAGGGUGCGGGCAGUGGGCACUUCAGGCCUGGGUGGGAAGUCAGGC